Molecule: ribosomal RNA, 513 nt
Filed under: uncultured bacterium
Lineage: Bacteria
Description: partial 16S ribosomal RNA
Rfam family: Bacterial small subunit ribosomal RNA
Source: RNAcentral
GAUGAACGCUGGCGGCGUGCCUAAUACAUGCAAGUCGAACGCACAGCGAAAGGUGCUUGCACCUUUCAAGUGAGUGGCGAACGGGUGAGUAACACGUGGACAACCUGCCUCAAGGCUGGGGAUAACAUUUGGAAACAGAUGCUAAUACCGAAUAAAACUCAGAGUCGCAUGACACAAAGUUAAAAGGCGCUUUGGCGUCACCUAGAGAUGGAUCCGCGGUGCAUUAGUUAGUUGGUGGGGUAAAGACCUACCAAGACAAUGAUGCAUAGCCGAGUUGAGAGACUGAUCGGCCACAUUGGGACUGAGACACGGCCCAAACUCCUACGGGAGGCUGCAGUAGGGAAUCUUCCACAAUGGGCGAAAGCCUGAUGGAGCAACGCCGCGUGUGUGAUGAAGGCUUUCGGGUCGUAAAGCACUGUUGUAUGGGAAGAACAGCUAGAAUAGGGAAUGAUUUUAGUUUGACAGUACCAUACCAGAAAGGGACGGCUAAAUACGUGCCAGCCGCCGCAGUAA